This 282-nucleotide ribosomal RNA is filed under the name uncultured bacterium. RNAcentral describes it as "partial 16S ribosomal RNA". It matches the Rfam family "Bacterial small subunit ribosomal RNA", at positions 773 to 1060 of the family's 1533-position model. The record is from RNAcentral.
GUGGAUUAGAUACCCUGGUAGUCCACGCUGUAAACGAUGCUAACUCGUUUUUGGAUUUUCGGAUUCAGAGACCAAGCGAAAGUGAUAAGUUAGCCACCUGGGGAGUACGUUCGCAAGAAUGAAACUCAAAGGAAUUGACGGGGGCCCGCACAAGCGGUGGAUUAUGUGGUUUAAUUCGAUGAUACGCGAGGAACCUUACCAAGACUUAAAUGGGAAUUGACAGAUUUAGAAAUAGAUCCUCCUUCGGGCAAUUUUCAAGGUGCUGCACGGUCGUCGUCAACU